GAAACAACAAAAAUGGAAACAACAAAAUAGAGUAUUUAAAAUGUGAAAAUGAUUAUAACACUAUUACAAAACAAAAAAAAAUGAAUAAUAAAAAAAAAGUUAAAUAAAUAUAAUAUAAAAAAGCAAAACAUGAUUACCAAUGAUGAAAAGAUUAAUCUGAUUAAUAAAGAGUUAUAUAUAAAAAUUUCUAGUGAUGAUGAACCAAUAAAUGAUAAUGAUAUAAUACUAUAUAGUUCAAAAAUAUCGUAUAAUUUGAUGGAAAAAAAUACUGAGUAUGUUGUUGUCACUUCAGAUAGUCAUGAAAUAGCCAAUGGUGAUUAUUAUAACGGUUUAAAAUAUGACAACAAGUGUGGAAAGUUCGAUGAUGACAUAGGUAAGAAUAUAGGAGAUGAGAAAAAAAAAAAGAAACUCAUAAUGUACACUCAUAUAUAUAACUACAAAAAAGCGAAUUUCGUCUUAAAAUGUAUUAGUCAAAAUUUUCGCCAAUUCAUUAAAGACAGACACAACUUUUUAUUUAGUCGUAAACAUUAUUUAUGCUCAAACGAUGAUAAUAUAUUGAUAGUAUUAAAUAAAAAAAAAAGUAGAAAGCAUAAAAAUGAGUAUACGAAUACUACUAUAAAAUAUAAUAACGAAUUAAAAAUGAUAGUUAAGAAUAUACAAAGAAAUGUAUGUGAAGAAUUUAAAUUAAAUUAUAAAAAUCGUUAUUAUAAUUUUGAAUCUGAAAAAGAAGGAGAAAAAAGUAAUGUACCUCAAGAAAAAAAAAAAAAAAAAAUUUUAUUAAUAUGUGAAUUGCGUGAUCAUAAUGGUAAUACUUUAGAUAUAAUAUAUUUAUUAAAUGAAAAAAAUUUAGACGGUUGUCAAAAUUUGAAUGAGGUUUUAUCUAUAAAUUCUAGAAAUGCAAAUUCUUAUAAGGAUGGCUAUGAUUAUUCAUUAAAAAAUAAGGACUCUAAUCGUAAUCGUAAUAAUAGUAUAAGCAGUUGUUAUGAUAGUAUUAAUAAUAGUUAUACUAGUAAUGUUAGUAGUAGAAGUAGAGAUAAUAACAAUACUAUGAACAGUAAUAGUAGAAGUAGUAUUAAUAUAAGUGGAGAAGAGAAAACGUUGUCAAAACACAUUCCUUUAACAAAUGAAAUGAAACGUCUGCAAUAUAAAACAGGAAAGGAAAAACAAAGAAUUUUAAAAAACGAGUUGUUUAAUACUUCAGAACAUAUUCACGGUAUCAUAAAUCAUACAAUAGAAAUGGAGUUAAGUGACAUAAAUAUAUAUAAUAACAGUUUGAUGAGUAAAGCAAAAAUGGAACAUUACCAUAACACCAGAAAGGGUAAUGGUACUAUGGGUGAUAGUGGUAGUGGCAGUGGCAGUGGCAGUGGCAGUGGCAGUGGCAGUGGCAGUGGCAGUGGCAGUGGUAGUGGUAGUGGUAGUGGUAGUGGUAGUGGUAGUGGUAGUGGUAGUGGUAGUGGUAGUAGUGGUAGUAGUGGUAGUAGUGGUAGUAGUGGUAGUAGUGGUAGUAGUGGUAGUAGUGGUAGUGAUAGUAGUGGUAGUGAUAGUAGUAGUAGUGGUAAUAAUUUUACACCCAAGACCCAAAGUGAUACUGAAGGUAAUUUUCAUUCUAUACCAAGUGAAGAGAAUGAAAAUUGUAUUAGUAAUGACAAUGUUAUAGAAGAUAGCAUAGUCGGUAAUACUCAUUUAACUGGUGAUAAUACAGAUGUAAUAGCAGUUGAAUUAAGAAUAAAUUUGGGACAUACAGUAAACUUGAUAUAUAAUGAUGGGCUGUUACAAACACAUGAUUUAUCAAGUGAAGCAGGGUAUGACCAAAGUUUAGUGGAUCCAGACUUUUUAUUUUUACAUGGUACUAAUGGGUUCAGAACAUUACAUAAUUUUUUUAUAAAUAAUGUCAAUGUUGUCAGUAGUAGACUCAUGCCUCAAAUUAACUUACCUAGUGAAAACAUAAACAAUAAUUUAGGAAAUGAAAGCACAGAAAGGGUUGUAAAUUAUUCUGUAAUAAAUGGUACAAAUAAUAUUUUAGAUUUAUAUCAAGGAAAUAACUUAACACUAUUUAAUUUUCCAACAGGAAAUGGUAUACUCAAUACAAAUAAUAAUGAAAUAUUUAUUUAUAUAAGUCGAACAUUAAUUAAUGAUAAUAUUAUAGAUGUUAGUGUACUGCAAGGGGGUGUUCGAAGAACACAAGAAGGGACUGGAAUUAUAAGUAAUGUAAAUAAUAACAAUACAUACCAAAAUGGUGUAACCACAACAACAACAACAACAAAAAAAAAAACAAAAAGUGACUACAAAAACUACGAAUUAUUAAAAAAAAGAUACAAAAGAUAUGUCAAAAAUAACAAAUUCAAAUAAUAUCAAAAAUGAGAAUACAGAAAAAAUAUUUGACGAGCAAACUGCUUUUUAUGAAAUACCUUUAACUGUGGAAAAUAUAUUUUCAAAGGGAAAAUAUGACAAAAUAAUUAAAUAUGUAUAUACACUCUCAAAAAGUGCAGAUCAGAUAUUAUUAGAAUAUAAUAAUGAUUCAGAUAAAAAAAAAGGAGGAAUAAAAAAAAAAAAAAAAAAAAAAAAUAUAUCA
This 2572-nucleotide long non-coding RNA is filed under the name Piliocolobus tephrosceles (Ugandan red Colobus). Its description in RNAcentral is "lncRNA (ENSPTEG00000030869.1)". Lineage: Eukaryota; Metazoa; Chordata; Mammalia; Primates; Cercopithecidae. The record is from RNAcentral.